GUGCUCCUUUGGCAGCACAGACACUAAAAUUGGAAGGAUACAGAGAUUAGCAUGGGCCCUGCACAAGGAUGACAUGCAAAUUUGAGAAGCGUUCCUUGUAUUU
Budorcas taxicolor (takin) is the source of this 103-nucleotide small nuclear RNA. The record is from RefSeq and is a predicted model, not a curated record. Lineage: Eukaryota; Metazoa; Chordata; Mammalia; Artiodactyla; Bovidae.